This 721-nucleotide ribosomal RNA is filed under the name Sarcocystis arieticanis. Its description in RNAcentral is "SSU rRNA". It matches the Rfam family "Eukaryotic small subunit ribosomal RNA", at positions 49 to 732 of the family's 1831-position model. Lineage: Eukaryota; Apicomplexa; Conoidasida; Eucoccidiorida; Sarcocystidae. The record is from RNAcentral.
UCAUGCAGGUUCUAGUAUAGCUUUUUAUACGGCGAAACUGCGAAUGGCUCAUUAAAACAGUUAUAGUUUAUUUGAUAGUCAUCUGAGAUGAAAGUCUACUACAUGGAUAACCGUGGUAAUUCUAUGGCUAAUACAUGCGCAAAUAUCCUUUUUCGCAAGGAAGAGGAUAGUGUUUAUUAGAUACAGAACCAAUACACCAGUGUCACAGCUGGUGUGAAAAAGGUGAUUCAUAGUAACCGAACGGAUCGCAUUAUGGUCAUUCUUUUGUAAUGGCUGGCGAUAGAUCAUUCAAGUUUCUGACCUAUCAGCUUUCGACGGUAGUGUAUUGGACUACCGUGGCAGUGACGGGUAACGGGGAAUUAGGGUUCGAUUCCGGAGAGGGAGCCUGAGAAACGGCUACCACAUCUAAGGAAGGCAGCAGGCGCGCAAAUUACCCAAUCCUGACUCAGGGAGGUAGUGACAAGAAAUAACAACACUGGAAAUUUUAUUUCUAGUGAUUGGAAUGAUGGGAAUUUAAACCCCUUUCAGAGUAACAAUUGGAGGGCAAGUCUGGUGCCAGCAGCCGCGGUAAUUCCAGCUCCAAUAGCGUAUAUUAAAGUUGUUGCAGUUAAAAAGCUCGUAGUUGGAUGUCUGCUGGAAGCAAUCAGUCCGCCCUAUUUGUAGGGUGUGCACUUGAUGAAUUCUGGCAUUUUUGUCCCAAUGAUGUAACGGGGCGGUGGUA